AGUUUGAUCCUGGCUCAGGAUGAACGCUGGCGGCGUGCCUAACGCAUGCGAGUCAAACGGAGAAUGUACCACUACGUUCUUACUGGCUAACGAGUGAGUAACGCGUUGGUGACCAGCCCCGAAGCGGGGGAUAACAUUCCGAAUGGAUUGCUAAUACCCCCUGUGGUCGUUGGGAUUAUAUGCCCCAGGAUUAAAGGUGUAAACCACUUCGGGAGGGGCGUGCGUCCCAUCAGCUAGCAGGUAGAGUAAUGGCAUCCCACGGGUUAGACGGGUAGGGCACAUGAGAGGGUGACCCCCCACAAUGGUCCUGAAACACGCUCCAUACACGUACGGUUGGCAGCAGUGAGGAAUAUUGGUUAAUGGGCGAAAGCCCGAACCAGCAACGCCGCGUGUGCGAUGAAGGCCUUCGGGUUGUAAAGCACCUUGGGAGGGGAAGAGAAGGGACGGUACCCUCCGAAUAAGCCUCGGCUAACUACGUGCCAGCAGCCGCGGUAACACGUAGGAGGCGAGCGUUAUCCGGAUUUAAUGGGUGUAAAGCGCGUGCAGGCGGUUCGUUAAGUUGGAUGUGAAAGCUCCUGGCUUAAUCGGGAGAGGUCGUUCAAUACUGCCGGGCUAGAGGAUGGGAGAGGGAGGUGGAAUUCCGGGUGUAGUGGUGAAAUGCGUAGAUAUCCGGAGGAACACCAGUGGCGAAGGCGGCCUCCUGGCCCAUUUCUGACGCUCAGACGCGAAAGCUAGGGGAGCGAACGGGAUUAGAGACCCCGGUAGUCCUAGCCGUAAACGAUGUGAACUUGGCGUCGGCGGGUUUAAAUCCGUCGGUGCCGCAGCUAACGCGAUAAGUUCACCACGUGAGUACUACGGCCGCAAGGUUAAAAUUCAAAGGAAUUGACGGGUCCCCGCACAAGCAGCGGAGCGUGUGGUUUAAUUCGUUGAUACACGAAGAACCUUACCAGGGUUUGACAUACAGGUGGUAGUGAAGCGAAAGCAGAUCGACCCUUCGGGGAGCCUGUACAGGUGUUGCAUGGCUGUGGUCAGCUCGUGUUGUGAGAUGUUCGGUUAAGUCCGCUCAACGAGCGCAACCCUUCGCUGUGUGUUCUACAUGUGUCGCUCGGGACUGCCGGUGUCAAGCACGGAGGAAGGUGGGGAUGACGUCAAGUCAGCAUGACCCUUAUAUCGUGGGCUACACACACGCUACAAUGGUUGGCACAAUGGGUCGAUAAGCCGCGAGGUAGAGCCAAUCUUCAAAGUCGGCUUCAGUUCAGAUUGCAGGCUGCAACUCGCUUGCGUGAAGCCGGAGUCGUUAGUAACCGCAGGUCAGGUAUAAUGCGGUGAAUACGUUCCCGGGGGUUGUAAUCACCGCCCGUCA
RNAcentral lists this ribosomal RNA (1363 nucleotides) under uncultured bacterium. RNAcentral's name for it is "16S ribosomal RNA". It matches the Rfam family "Bacterial small subunit ribosomal RNA". The record is from RNAcentral.